This is a long non-coding RNA of Bacillus rossius redtenbacheri, 768 nucleotides long. RefSeq lists it as uncharacterized. NCBI's taxonomy places the organism in Eukaryota, Metazoa, Arthropoda, Insecta, Phasmatodea, Bacillidae. The record is from RefSeq and is a predicted model, not a curated record. The transcript has 2 exons.
UGUUAAGCUUUGUGGAUUUAAAAGAAAAACAUAUGGACUUCAAAAGACUUUAAACAUCAUAAAUUAAUUUUUCCUUUUGUUUAUAUUAAUACUGUGGUUAAGAUUAAUUAUUGAGUUAUUGCACUUAAGUGAAGGAAAGUGUAACAUUCUAAGUUUCUCAUCUCUACGUAUUGUCAUAUCUAUGGUCAUCUUCCUAUUGAAAAGGAAAAGGUAAUACUUCCCUUUCUGUUUUUGUCAGCCAUGAUGUAGACUUCAAAAUUUUUGUGCUAGUCACGUAUCCAUCGACAUCCAUGUCGAAAGUUGUGUAUUUACUACCGCAAUAGCGGUCCGGGUGUUGGCGACCUCUCGCUGCCCCAUACCUGAGGCGUGAUCCAUAAGCUUCGCCCAUAACAUCUGGGCACCCCAGGGCUUGUCCCGUGGUUCUACGGCGAUGGGAGCCGCCAACAAAAUCCCAGGAAAGUUUUCGACGACUAAAUCCUAAGCAUGCAGCAUGGGUAGUUAACCUGUUUCGGCCACGCGUAUCUUCUUGCAAUUUCAUCGACUAUUUCAUCAAACUACCCCUUUGGCAUCGAAAUCAACAGUUAAUUAAUGAGCAAUUUUUUAAUGAUAAUAUUUUAAUACUUUCUGUAUCUUAAAUUUAUGUUAAUUUUUUGAAAAUGUAACUAAGUAAUAAUUAUUUUGGGGCCCCAUUUUUGUUUUGACUGUACGAAUACUCAAUUAAUACUCUUUAUCUUGUUUUAAAUAAAUAUGUUUUGUUAUGGCUGACCC